Molecule: ribosomal RNA, 253 nt
Filed under: uncultured bacterium
Lineage: Bacteria
Description: partial 16S ribosomal RNA
Rfam family: Bacterial small subunit ribosomal RNA
Source: RNAcentral
UACGGAGGGGGCUAGCGUUGUUCGGAAUUACUGGGCGUAAAGAGCUCGUAGGCGGUUUGUCGCGUCUGCUGUGAAAACCUAAGGCUCAACCUUGGGCUUGCAGUGGGUACGGGCAGACUAGAGUGCGGUAGGGGUGACUGGAAUUCCUGGUGUAGCGGUGGAAUGCGCAGAUAUCAGGAGGAACACCGAUGGCGAAGGCAGGUCACUGGGCCGCAACUGACGCUGAGGAGCGAAAGCAUGGGGAGCGAACAGG